GGGAAUAUGGCUCAGCGCUGGAGCAUUUGCUUGGCUUGCAGAUGGUGCCAGAUUCAAUCCCCGGCAUCUCCA
This 72-nucleotide transfer RNA is filed under the name Sphaerodactylus townsendi. RNAcentral describes it as "tRNA-Ala". The record is from RNAcentral. Lineage: Eukaryota; Metazoa; Chordata; Lepidosauria; Squamata; Sphaerodactylidae.